RNAcentral lists this unclassified non-coding RNA (223 nucleotides) under uncultured Erythrobasidium. RNAcentral describes it as "sequence contains ITS2". The record is from RNAcentral. Lineage: Eukaryota; Fungi; Basidiomycota; Cystobasidiomycetes; Erythrobasidiales; Erythrobasidiaceae.
AACUCUCAACCCCCUUGUUUUGUAACGAAGCAGGCGUGGGCUUGGAUUAUGGCUGUCUGCUGGACUCUUUAACUAGAGAUCGGCUCGGCUGAAAUACACGAGUAACCCAGUUUGAACAUUAACGGCUUGACUCGGCGUAAUAGCUUUAUUUCGCUGAGGACGUUUCAUAUCAAGAUAGUGGUGCUUCUAAUGCGUCGUAGCGUCAGCUGCACAACCUUUAAGC